UGAAUUAAGGCAGAGGUAAUUGGAAAUUUGGUUGAAAUUAUCCACUAUUUGCUUUAUACGGUAUAUUAAAUAUUUACAAAUAAUUUUCUAUAGGAUCAACAAUGAUCUUCCUGGACAAUCACCUCCAUGAAUCAAAAGAAGAUGAAUAAUGGAGUCGUGAAGCAAAAGUGAAGUCUUAGAAUAAUAGGAUAAUGCGUUACUUAAGCUAGGUUAAGCUACUUUUGAACCGUGUUACUUCACUUUGCUUAAUUUUGGGUGUACGGUGCCGUGGACAAUG
RNAcentral lists this long non-coding RNA (277 nucleotides) under Triticum aestivum (bread wheat). Its description in RNAcentral is "long non-coding RNA (TAES_LNC000556)". Lineage: Eukaryota; Viridiplantae; Streptophyta; Magnoliopsida; Poales; Poaceae. The record is from RNAcentral.